UUUAUUAUUCACUAAGUUAUAAAAUAGACAAUGAUAUCACUUCGGAGAUAAGUAUACCGGUGGUGGAGAACUACAUUUUUACGUCAUCUACUUCCUACUAAAUAAACAACAAAACUCGCAGAACUACACUUCCACAGAUAGAAACAAACAGCGAAAAUGAAUUAAUUUUCACCCCAACUCCACUUCAACCCAAAAUCCACUUUCACCUCAAGUCUACUUAUGUUGAAACAAAUAUGCCCAUAAUAUCCGUAUAAAUCACGUAUCCGAAUAAUUACCGAAUCUCUUUUUUAGUUUAAAAAUUAGAAGAUGAAUUUUAUCCGAAUUAUACCCAUACCGAAUUUUUGCCGAAUCCGAAUUAACUAACUAUGGGUCGAAUAUCUAUUAACAUAUAUGAUUCCGCAAUAGUUUUGCCACGUGGCAAUUUUUUUUCACUCUUAUUAAAAUCUUUACACUUUUUUCUUUUUUGUAACCGCUUUGUAUUUUAGGAUGCUCUUACAAAUAUUAAUAAGUGAAAGUAAUAAUAAACAUUUAAAUAACAACAG
This 542-nucleotide long non-coding RNA is filed under the name Ananas comosus (pineapple). RNAcentral describes it as "long non-coding RNA (ACOM_LNC032203)". The record is from RNAcentral. Lineage: Eukaryota; Viridiplantae; Streptophyta; Magnoliopsida; Poales; Bromeliaceae.